Small nuclear RNA from Oryctolagus cuniculus (rabbit), 104 nucleotides. Lineage: Eukaryota; Metazoa; Chordata; Mammalia; Lagomorpha; Leporidae. The record is from Ensembl.
GUGUUCGCUUCGGCAGCACACAUACUAAAAUUGGAACGAUACAGAGAUUAGCAUGGCCCCUGUGCAAGGAUGACACACAAAUUCGUGAAGUGUUCCAUAUUAAA